RNA transcript from Bubalus bubalis (water buffalo), 1400 nucleotides. It is a transcript of the gene named mast cell expressed membrane protein 1, with no coding region annotated. The transcript is spliced from 8 exons. The record is from RefSeq and is a predicted model, not a curated record. Lineage: Eukaryota; Metazoa; Chordata; Mammalia; Artiodactyla; Bovidae.
GUGGGUGGGGCUGUAUGAAGACAAAUUUGCUGCUGGGGACCAUAGAGACUGAGGAAAUAUACAUAAACCAGGAGGUCAAGAUGCAGCCGGUAGCCUUCAAAGACAAGAGACGGGGAUCCUCAGGCAAUAAAGAAGAGCUCCGGGCAGGUUUCCUCAAGCCUCUCAAUGACUUGCCCACAGCUGCAGAUGACCCUAACUAUGAGAACAUCACCUUUACCUUCAAAAACCAGAACCGGCCAAAGGGCAGUCAUUCACCACCCAAGAAUAAGGUGCCAGCCGAGCCCAGGCCACCCUUGGACACUGCCCAGGGACACCACUGGUUGCCUAAAGCCAUGAUGAGUCUGAACACCUUCUUGACUCUGUCCUGCAUGGUCCUCUUAGCUGUGGUCCUGGUGAAGAAUUCCAAGAUGUCCAGGGAGCUGGUGGUCUUGAAAGAGGAGCUCUGGAACGUCUCCACUUCGGUGCAAGAGUACCAGGAAGAGCAGAAGACUCAGUGGGGCAACGUGAAACAGAGUGUAAUGGCAGCCAAGCAGAGCAUUGACACAGUCAUGACGAGAAUCCAGGAAGGGAACCCGAAACGGAAGCAGCUGGCCACAGUCCCAAACAUAGAUGAAGUCAAGAAAACAUUACAGGAAAUCCUCAAUACACUGAAGACACCAAAACCAAGUCCCACACCUCAAUGAGUGAGAAAAUCUCACAGCCCUGGCUGCGCCGUGGAGGAAAGACAGCACUUCUUCCAUGAAGAAGGAACAUGGGGACCCACGCUGGUCUGAAGCUGCCCUUCAUCCCACAUGUAGAAAAUCACAUGUCUUGCGAAUGAGUGUUGUGGAAUUGCAUGUGUGCAUGUGCAUGCGUGUGUCAGGCACAUCACCGCUUGCAGCAUUCUGCAUUUCAGAAAGCAGGUCGCGGGUCAAUAACCGGGAGAGCAACGGACCCAAUUAUUGGAUUGCCUGACACUGUGUACUUAGUCGCUCAGUCACGUCCGACUCUUUGCGAUCCCAUGGACUGUAGCCCUCUAGGCUCCUCUGUCCAUGAGGAUUCUCCAGGCAAGAACACUGGAGUGGGUUGACGUGCCCUCCUCCAGGGGAAUCUUCCCAACCCAGGGAUUGAACCCAGGUCUCCCGCAUUGCAGGCGGAUUCUUUACCUUCUGAGCCACCUGACACUAGCUCUGACUGUUUUGAAAUAAUGCAGGAAGAAGAAAAACACAAGACCUUCACCAUUUUGAUCCUUGCCACCAACCCGCACCCCGGGACUUGAAGCCCCACCUAUUAGACUUCUCCUGAUUCCCCACGGCGGGGGAUGGGGUUGGAGGCUGGGGAAUGGUCUUGAGGCUCCAGGCAGCUGCGUUCCCUCUUUGCCUGGCAAAAAAAUAAAACUCCUCUUUCUUUUCUCCUCCAAA